AGUAACACGUGGAUAACCUACCUAUAAGACUGGGAUAACUUCGGGAAACCGGAGCUAAUACCGGAUAAUAUAUUGAACCGCAUGGUUCAAUAGUGAAAGACGGUUUUGCUGUCACUUAUAGAUGGAUCCGCGCCGCAUUAGCUAGUUGGUAAGGUAACGGCUUACCAAGGCAACGAUGCAUAGCCGACCUGAGAGGGUGAUCGGCCACACUGGAACUGAGACACGGUCCAGACUCCUACGGGAGGCAGCAGCA
This 253-nucleotide ribosomal RNA is filed under the name uncultured Staphylococcus sp. RNAcentral's name for it is "partial 16S ribosomal RNA". It matches the Rfam family "Bacterial small subunit ribosomal RNA", at positions 109 to 355 of the family's 1533-position model. Lineage: Bacteria; Bacillati; Bacillota; Bacilli; Caryophanales; Staphylococcaceae. The record is from RNAcentral.